CCCUUUGUGGUGUAGUUGGUAUCACACUCGGCUGUAAUGUGGACUUCUGCUUUGCCUACCGAUUGGUCACCGGUUCGACUCCGGUCGAAGGGA
Molecule: non-coding RNA, 93 nt
Organism: Terfezia claveryi
Lineage: Eukaryota; Fungi; Ascomycota; Pezizomycetes; Pezizales; Pezizaceae
Source: the annotation of a GenBank genome assembly